This 670-nucleotide long non-coding RNA is filed under the name Marmota monax (woodchuck). The record is from RNAcentral. Lineage: Eukaryota; Metazoa; Chordata; Mammalia; Rodentia; Sciuridae.
GUACCUGUUAAUGGGUAAUGAAAACCUGAAUCAUUAAAACAUCUCAGGCAAAAGCUGCACCAUUUUUCUAUCAAACCUUUAGACAUAAGAAUAGUUGAGUCAACUGAUUUUAGCGUGUGCCAUCACAACCAACUAGUGGGUGCCCCUUUCUAAUAUCUGGUGCCCCUUUCUAAUAUCCUCAUUUCUUGCCUGUGAGGAAAAUUAUGUUGACGAUCAGAGCUAGAACUAAGGGGAAAUAAUAGAGAAAAGUGAGAAGAAAACAAACUUGCUCUUCCUGAGUAACCAAGAUUCUUGCAAAGGAGUUCGAAAUUUAAAGGCCUGGUAGAAUCAUUGAUACAAGUGGAUGCAGUGGCACAUGCCUAUAAUCCCAGCCACUCAGGAAACUGAGGCAGGUGGAUUGGAUCACAAGUUUGAGGUUAGCCUCAACAACUUAAAUCCUGUCUUAAAAUAACAAAGGGCCGAAGAUGUAUCUCAGUGGUAAGUCACCCCUGCGUACUGAGGAGGAAAAAAAGUUGAUAUAUUUGACCAAAUGAUCAUUGUAUGCAUUUCCAGGAUCUUUUCACAGUAUCACUAUCCUGAACAGUUUGGCACACUCCUUCACUACUGACAUCUUCAUGCUUAUUUUUUGUCCUAUUUUGUCCUGCUAAUUGACACCAGGAGCCACCAAGUC